GACGAACGCUGGCGGCGUGCCUAAUACAUGCAAGUCGAACGAAAAGACCAGGAUUUUGUUCUUCUUACGUUAGCGGCGGGUGGGUAACGAACAAGUGGCUAACCUGUCUACAAGACUGGAAUAACUUCGAGACACCGGAGAUAAUACCGGAUAAUAUAUUGAACCGCAUGGUUGAGUAGUUAAUGGCGGACGUGCUUUUACUUGUAGAGGGUUCCGCGCCGCCUUAGCUACUUGGUAAGGUAACGGCUUACGACGGCAACGAUGAGUAGCCGACGUGCGAGGGUGAUCGGCCACGCUGGAACUGAGACACGGUCCAGACCCCGACGGGAGGCAGCAGUAGGGAAGCUGCCGAAAUGGGCGAAAGCGUGACGGAGCAGCGCCGCGUGAGUGAUGAAGGUCUUCGGAUCGUAAAACUCUGUUAUUAGCGAAGAACAAAUGUGUAAGUAGCUAUGCACGUCUUGACGGUACCGAUACAGAAAGCCACGGCUAACUACGUG
Molecule: ribosomal RNA, 497 nt
Filed under: uncultured bacterium
Lineage: Bacteria
Description: partial 16S ribosomal RNA
Rfam family: Bacterial small subunit ribosomal RNA
Source: RNAcentral